Molecule: ribosomal RNA, 396 nt
Filed under: uncultured bacterium
Lineage: Bacteria
Description: bacterial SSU rRNA
Rfam family: Bacterial small subunit ribosomal RNA
Source: RNAcentral
AAUAUUGGACAAUGGGCGAAAGCCUGAUCCAGCAAUGACGCGUGAGUGAUGAAGGCCAUAGGGUUGUACAGCUCUUUUACCAGGGAUGAUAAUGACAGUACCUGGAGAAUAAGCUCCGGCUAACUCCGUGCCAGCAGCCGCGGUAAUACGGAGGGAGCUAGCGUUGUUCGGAUAUACUGGGCGUAAAGCGCACGUAGGCGGCGCAGCAAGUCAGGGGUGAAAUCCCGGAGCUCAGCUCCGGAACUGCCCUUGAAACUGCAGUGCUAGAAUUCUGGAGAGGCGAGUGGAAUUCCGAGUGUAGAGGUGAAAUUCGUAGAUAUUCGGAAGAACACCAGUGGCGAAGGCGACUCGCUGGACAGACAUUGACGCUGAGGUGCGAAAGCGUGGGGAGCAAAC